CCUACGGGAGGCAGCAGUGGGGAAUAUUGGACAAUGGGGGGAACCCUGAUCCAGCGACGCCGCGUGAGUGAAGAAGUAUUUCGGUAUGUAAAGCUCUAUCAGCAGGGAAGAAAGAAAUGACGGUACCUGACUAAGAAGCCCCGGCUAACUACGUGCCAGCAGCCGCGGUAAUACGUAGGGGGCAAGCGUUAUCCGGAUUUACUGGGUGUAAAGGGAGCGUAGACGGCGAUGCAAGUCUGAAGUGAAAGGCGGGGGCCCAACCCCCGGACUGCUUUGGAAACGGUAUGGCUGGAGUGCAGGAGGGGGAAGUAGAAUUCCUAGUGUAGCGGUGGAAUGCGUAGAUAAUAGGAGGAAAACCAGUGGCGAAGGUG
Molecule: ribosomal RNA, 371 nt
Filed under: uncultured bacterium
Lineage: Bacteria
Description: partial 16S ribosomal RNA
Rfam family: Bacterial small subunit ribosomal RNA
Source: RNAcentral